Tursiops truncatus (common bottlenose dolphin) is the source of this 118-nucleotide ribosomal RNA. The record is from Ensembl. Lineage: Eukaryota; Metazoa; Chordata; Mammalia; Artiodactyla; Delphinidae.
AUCCAGGUCCGCAUCACCAUGAAGUCAACUGCCAGCUUCUGAGCUCAGAAUCUGAGCAGGGUUGAGGCUGGUUAGUACUUGGUGGUGAGACCGACUGGGAUACCCGGUGCUGUAGGUU